Molecule: ribosomal RNA, 274 nt
Filed under: uncultured bacterium
Lineage: Bacteria
Description: partial 16S ribosomal RNA
Rfam family: Bacterial small subunit ribosomal RNA
Source: RNAcentral
ACACGGGGGGCGCAAGCGUUAUUCGGAAUCAUUGGGCGUAAAGGGCACGCAGGCGGUUCUGUCAGUCAGAUGUGAAAGCCCGGGGCUUAACCCCGGACGUGCAUUUGAAACAGCAGGACUUGAGUAUGGUAGAGGAAAGCGGAAUUCCUGGUGUAGAGGUGAAAUUCGUAGAUAUCAGGAGGAACACCGGUGGCGAAGGCGGCUUUCUGGACCAAAACUGACGCUGAGGUGCGAAGGCGUGGGUAGCGAACAGGAUUAGAAACCCCAGUAGUCC